This 824-nucleotide long non-coding RNA is filed under the name Sus scrofa (pig). RNAcentral describes it as "lncRNA (ENSSSCG00060069420.1)". Lineage: Eukaryota; Metazoa; Chordata; Mammalia; Artiodactyla; Suidae. The record is from RNAcentral.
AUACUGGGUCACAUCUUUGUGAAUCUGCAGGUGAAUGCCUUUCCCAAGUGAAGAUUUUUCUGUUUCCAGAACUUCACUUCAGAGAGCUUUCCAUGCUUGAGUCAUGCACUAGCUUGUGACAAGUUAUUUUUUAACAACUUUUCUUCCCGGCAGUCACCACCUGUGAUGAAAACACAGAGGAGGAAGUUACAUCCCAGCGGCUAAGAAUAAUAGCAAGCAGUCUUUUGAACUAUUUAGCUGGAGGAAAUGAUGAAAAGUUAUUGAGUCAUCAGAUGUAUUUCCCUCUGUUUUCUCAGGAGAUGUUUUCUACUUCCUGUGAGACAGACCCAGGAAAAUUUGCUGAAGAGCAGGCAAUUGGUGUGAGAUCUUCUGCAAACAUUCUUUCACUGAAGGAAGAAGAGAGCAAACAGCAUGAAGGAAGAGGGACCAAACAGCAGAGAUGGCACAUAGCUUGGGAGUUAGAAGAGGCUGCUGGAUAGGUUAAAACAGUAGAGUUCACUUGGGAAUCUGACUGUAUUGUGGGAGGAUCUUUCUCCAUCCUUCUGUCUGGAAGAGCAGCUCCCACCCAGAGAGCACUGGGAGAGUGCGCUCCACACCUCCAGGCCAUUGGUCAGCUCACGGAGACGGCAUCACCACCACGAAGGCAGCCUCCUCCUCUGUGUGACUUCAGAGGUAAGACAGGCUUCACAAGGCUUCUUGGGCAAUAGCCACAGUGAUGAGGGGAUCCCAGCAGGAGAGCACAAAGAGAUGACUUGAGAAUUCCUACAAGACUCCACUGAGAUAACUAUGGAUGGUUCCUUGGUGGCGGGAGGGAUGGAUUGGGG